AGAGUUUGAUCAUGGCUCAGGAUCAACGCUGGCGGCGUGCCUAAUGCAUGCAAGUCGAGCGGGGUGCUCUUCGGAGCACUUACGCGGCGGACGGGUGCGGAACACGUGGGCAACCUGCCCUGAGGUGGGGGAUAGCCGGCGGAAACGCCGGGUAAUUCCGCAUACGCUCACGAGCCGAGAGGCUGGUGAGGAAAGGGUCUUUUAGACUCGCCUUAGGAGGGGCCUGCGGCCGAUUAGCUAGACGGUGGGGUAACGGCCUACCGUGGCGAUGAUCGGUAGCUGGUCUGAGAGGACGGCCAGCCACACGGGGACUGAGACACGGCCCCGACUCCUACGGGAGGCAGCAGCAAGGAAUCUUCCGCAAUGGGCGAAAGCCUGACGCAGCGACGCCGCGUGGGGGAAGAAGGCCUUCGGGUUGUAAACCUCUUUCAGCAGGGACGAAGCCACUCGGGUGAAUAGCCCAGAGGGUGACGGUACCUGCAGAAGAAGCCCCGGCUAACUACGUGCUAGCCGCCGCGGUAAUAC
RNAcentral lists this ribosomal RNA (525 nucleotides) under uncultured bacterium. RNAcentral describes it as "bacterial SSU rRNA". It matches the Rfam family "Bacterial small subunit ribosomal RNA", at positions 8 to 526 of the family's 1533-position model. The record is from RNAcentral.